UACAGAGGUCUCAAGCGUUGUUCGGAUUCAUUGGGCGUAAAGGGUGCGUAGGCGGCGCGGCAAGUCGGGUGUGAAAUCUCGGAGCUUAACUCCGAAACUGCAUUCGAUACUGCCGUGCUCGAGGACUGGAGAGGAGACUGGAAUUUACGGUGUAGCGGUGAAAUGCGUAGAUAUCGUAAGGAAGACCAGUGGCGAAAGCGGCGCGCUGGAUCCCUUCUGACGCUGAGGCGCGAAAGCCAGGGGAGCAAACGGG
RNAcentral lists this ribosomal RNA (253 nucleotides) under uncultured bacterium. Its description in RNAcentral is "partial 16S ribosomal RNA". It matches the Rfam family "Bacterial small subunit ribosomal RNA", at positions 524 to 776 of the family's 1533-position model. The record is from RNAcentral.